UGCUUUCGCCUUUAAUUUUCUUUGUGCGGCAUUUGCCGAAUUGAUUUGUCCAGAUAGUCGCUACUAAACGAUCUUAAUGUUUCCUCUAAUUGAGAUUAUAUAAUAUUCAGUACGUAAGCUUGCGAUAUACUUAGUCGUGUUUAUAAAUUAGUCCCCACUGAUCUCGGUCUCAGAAUCGAAGUUGGCGCGUCGCCACGAAAGGCACUUAUCAAGUAUACCAGAAGACACCGAGAGGAAGACAUUGUCAGAUAUUGUUGAGUGCGAGGGAUAUGGAUAAAAAGUGUGCAUUGUCCAUCCUAUUCAUAAUAGCAUUCAUCUCCGUGUGUAUCUGUGUUAUCCUGAUAUUUGGCAUCCCGAGCGAAUCGCGAAUUUCCAAGCAGCCACACAUCGUCGUUAUCAUAGCCGAUGACCUCGGAUGGAACGAUGUCGGUUUCCACGGCGCUAACGAGAUUCCUACGCCGAACAUAGACGCUCUCGCGUACAACGGAGUGAUAUUGAACAGACAUUACGUACUACCAACAUGCACACCGUCGAGAGCGGCUUUCUUCACCGGCCGGUACCCUAUAAGAACAGGUAUGCAGGGCUACCCUCUACGCGCAGCGGAACCGCGCAGCAUACCGUUAAACAAUUCUCUCCUACCUGAGUAUCUUCGUAUGCUCGGAUACACUACUGCUCUUGUGGGGAAAUGGCACAUCGGUUAUCACACGAAUAAUCAUAUACCCACGCGUCGUGGUUUCGACAGCUUCCUCGGCUAUUAUUCCGGCUACAUCGAAUAUUUCACUCACAAACUUAUCGAGAGCGGGCAAUCAGGCUACGAUAUUCAUCGUUUGAUCGGCAACAAUCAUAAAAUCGAGUAUCGUUACGACUACAUGACUGACAUCAUCACCGCGGAGGCGGAGAGUAUCAUUUUGUCGCAUAAUACCUUGAAACCGAUGUACCUGCAAUUGUCGCAUCUCGCGCCUCAUUCAAGCACUGCUAAAGAUCUCUUGGAAGUACGUAGUUGGAAGGAAACGAACGACACUUUCGGUUACAUCAAGGAUAUAAACAGAAGAAAGUAUGCAAGUGUCGUCACCACAUUGGACGAGUCGGUCGGUCGAGUGGUCGACGCUCUGAAGCGGGCAGAAAUGUUGGACAACUCGAUCAUCAUCUUUCUGAGCGACAACGGUGCGCAAACCGUGGGAGAAGUACAUAGGAAUUACGGAUCGAAUUAUCCAUUACGCGGGUUGAAGUCAAGCUUUUUCGAUGGCGCCGUUCGAAGUGCGGCCUGCAUCUAUUCACCCCUGAUCGAAUCCAGGUCGAGAAUAUCCACGCAAUUGAUUCACAUUAGCGAUUGGCUACCGACCCUGUAUUCCGCAGCCGGCGGUGAUCCGAGUGAUCUAGAAGGACUCGAUGGUGUCGAUCAAUGGUCCGCGAUCAAACACGCGGGCAACAGCAAGCGGCAAUCCUUACUCAUCAACAUCGACGAGCAGAUUGAUAGCGAGGCAGCGUUGGUAGGACAAUACAAACUUGUCACAGACAGGUCUAUAUUUUCCGAGUAUUAUGGCUACACCGGUAACGACCCGUCGUAUCCCAAGUACAAUGAGACGCAAGUAUUAACGUCACCGGCCGCAUCCGCUAUCGCCAGUAUUUCGCCGAAGUUAAACGCUGAUAAACUCAAGCAGUUGCGAAAAGAAGGCAUGGUGAUUUGCCAGAAUGACAAGUUCUCGAAUUGCAUGAAUCGCACUUGUCUGUUCGACAUCUACGAGGAUCCUUGCGAAAUUACAGACCUGUCAUCGAAGUAUCCCGAGGUCGUGAAGAGAUUGAGUACGUUCAUCGACAGCUAUAAAUUGGUCAUGAUGAAGCAGACGAACAUGCCCGUCGAUCCUACCGGCUUCCCACACAAUUUUAAUGACACUUGGAUGCCGUGGCUACCGGAGGGAGAUCUGCCGGCGAAGUGUAUUUUGCCAAGUUGCGUAAUGACGAAGCAGUAGAGUGCCGAUUAUAUCCCGAGAAUAUAAGCAUGGUUACCGCUGCGGGCGAAGCCGCUCGUCGGAUACCGUGUGCGAGGGCCAGAGGGUGGAUAAGUCCGAGCCGAAACUUAACGACGUAAUGAACGUCUGACGGAGGAUUAUUUAUCGACGGCAGCGGAGCAACGGAAGGGCCGACGCGCGGCCAAGGAGAGCGGGAGGGAAGACGGACGAUCGGCAUCGUGGACAAAAUUGGCACGAUAAUUAGCGCGGGGCAAGGGGUCCGCGACUUCUUUUAAUUGAAGUGUACAACACGAAAUUUGCUUUCGCUAAUUGCGCCGGAUGAUUUGUCGGCGCGGGAUAAUAGGCGUGCGCAUUAGGAACGGAAACUCGUACCUCGUGGAACAGAACGGAAUAAGCGCACCGGAUUAUCGAUUCUUAUGUAUUCAUAACGAGCCGUGAGUUAUAGUUAUAAAAUGAGUCGUUCAAUUAAUGUACCCGGAAUACAAGUCGAGAAACCACGCGGCGAGUCUAACUUUAAGACAAAGAACUGCUGAGUCGGGUUUCACAUGAAACGACUACUGUAAUUUUCGUGUGAAUGAAAUUCAGUAGAGGAAUGUUUGGAGCUUGAAAAGGCUGUAUCGAGGAAAUUACGUCUCGGAGUGAAGUAUAAUCAAGUUGAAUGGAGCAGAGAAAGAGAGAUUUAAUAGAAGGAUUCUCGCUUUACGCAGAGGGACUCGAGGUCGAUACUCGUUCGAACUCGAUCAAGCGAGAUGGCACCAAUCUUUAAAUGGUGAAGGCAGGGAUAAAUUGUUUUGGCUCCGCCCUGUAGUAAAACAAAUGAUCACAAAGAUACCGCCUGCUCGUUAAAGUCAUUCCUGCGAAGGUGGUCUCGCUCUUUCUCUCUCUUUCUCUCUCUCUCUCUCUCUCUCUCUCUUUAUCUCUUUUUUCCAUCCUUUUCUUUUAGGAUAUUUCUCGUUACGCGAGGUGUAUAAUUUUCGAUAGAACCGAACGCACUAGAAAAACGUAGCGCGUCGACAACUAAUUAGUGAACGAGAAAUAAAUAAGUCACGUCGGCUACUUAGCCGGAAAGUAAAGGGAGUGAACGGCCAGGCUCCGCUUGGUCACAUCAAUAAGGUCACACGAGACUUUCACAUGAAUAACGUUUUGAACUAACAAAAAAACAGUUGCAUGUCAAAUUUUAGUUACCUUGUGAUUCUUACACCUUCCUGGUAGCAACAGGAUUUCUUGACAACAAAUUCGAAAGCAAUUCUCUCUAAGCACGUGUUUGUUUAGAAUAUUGUUCAUCUAAUACUUGUUUCAUAUAAGUUACUCAGAUCUUUAUUCAGAAGUAGGUUCAAGUUCUUUUUCACUUUAUUUAUGAUAUAUGUGAUAUUUAUAUGUAAUCAUGAGUCAACUAAAAAACUCUUAUCUAAUUCCGUAUUCAAAUCUGAGUAUCUCAUUUGAGAUGAAUUACAAAUGAUAACUACUAACAGGUCUAUAUUAAUAGUUAUUUGAAAUUUGUCUCAAGUGAGAUAGCCAGAUUUGAGUUGAAAGUUCGAUGCGAAUUUUUCAAUUGAAUCGCGCAAUUACAAAUAUAAUAUCACAUAUACGAUUCAAAUGAAAAACUCAUAUCUGACUUUAAAGUCAAAUCUGAGCGUCUUGCUUGAGACAAGUCUUAAGUAAUAUAGGCCUUAAACUCAUGUCAAUAUUAAUAUAAUCGUUACUUAAAACUUACCUCGAGUGAAAUAGAUUCGAAUUUAGAAUUAGAUUUGAGUUUUGUACUUAAAUCAAUACAACCAAAAUUACAUUUGUAAUCGAUUUAACUGAGAAACUUGAAUCCAAUUCUAAAUUCAAAUUUGAAUUUAGAUUCAGAAUUAUAAUUGAUUAGAUUUAGAAUUAGAAUAGAUUGAGAUUGAAAUUUAGAUCGAAUUCUCAACGCGAGAAAAGUUUCAAAUAACGGCCAUUAACAAGAAACUACAUUAAUAGAGUCUCAGAUUUUAAUUCAGAUUUUUAUUUCAGAAUUAGAUUCAAGUUUUUCACAUAGUUAAAUUAUAUGAUCUGUAUUAAUAGUCGUUAUAUAAAAUUUCAUUCAAAUAAGAUAUUCAGAUUUGAGUUUAGAGUUAUAUGAGAGUUUCUCAAUUGAAUUGCGAUUACAGAUAUGAUGUUACAUGUAUCACAAGUUCGUAUUAAUAGUCGAAACUUGCCUCAAGUGAGACACUCAGAUUUGAAUUUAUAGUCAGAUAUGAGUUUUUUAGUUGAAUCACGACUGCAAGUAUAAUGUCACAUAUAUCAUGUAAUUAAAAUAAAAAAACUUUUACCUAACUCUAGAUUCAGAUUUGAAUAUUUUAUGUAGGACAAAUUUUAAAUAACGCCUAUUAAUUUAGGCCAUAUAAUUCAACUGUGUGAAAAAUUUGGAUCUAAUCCUGAAUAAGAAUAUGAGUAUUUCAUGUGAGACGAGCUUCAAGUAAUGACUAUUAUUACAGACUUUAGUUCCUGAUAUUCCUGAUAGUUUAUCAAGUAUCGUAUUUGCGUGAGAUUCGCUAACGGUCAAGAUUAGUUAUGUCGCGAGAGGAAUGUUGGCAAAUUUCCAUCUUUUAAAAUUCAGGCUUCGAAUACUUGUUAGACGAGGGGGCGUUUUGAAGAAGCGAUUCCCCAAUUCUUUCGAGCGACAUAGAUUCUCGGUUCUGGGAGCGAGAGGGUUAACGGCAACGAUCGCUCCUCUUCUUCUUCGCUCGCGACGGCGACCGGCAUCCCCGUGUCGAUCAGCGUGGCUCCUCGUUCAUCGAGGCAGGAGGAGGCCAAGUAGGAGGCGAAGUAGGAGGAAGUGAAGUAGUAGGAGGACUCCACCACCACCGUCGGCUGGCAAAUCCUGCGGGACUGCUCCAACGGACACCUGACGUCGCAUAGAGGACAAACAGAGACGCUCUUCACACGUCGGGAUAAAGAUAUUAAAAGACAUUAAAAGAUAUUAAAGAUAGAUACGCGUAAGGAUAAAAAUAUUGUAGCUUGUCCGAAAGCUUCGCUUUCUUCAUGAACGAGAG
Odontomachus brunneus is the source of this 4990-nucleotide RNA transcript. It is a transcript of the gene named arylsulfatase B-like, with no coding region annotated. The transcript has 10 exons. The record is from RefSeq and is a predicted model, not a curated record. Lineage: Eukaryota; Metazoa; Arthropoda; Insecta; Hymenoptera; Formicidae.